Molecule: ribosomal RNA, 230 nt
Filed under: uncultured Glomeraceae
Lineage: Eukaryota; Fungi; Glomeromycota; Glomeromycetes; Glomerales; Glomeraceae
Description: partial 18S ribosomal RNA
Rfam family: Eukaryotic small subunit ribosomal RNA (bases 39-230)
Source: RNAcentral
GGGUCAGCAGGUUGGUCGUGCCACUGGUAUGCACUGGCUUCGCUGAUUCCUCCUUUCUGAAGAACUGUAAUGCCAUUAAUUUGGUGUUGCAGGGAAACAGGACUGUUACUUUGAAAAAAUUAGAGUGUUUAAAGCAGGCUAACGCUUGAAUACAUUAGCAUGGAAUAAUGAAAUAGGACGUUUGAUCCUAUUUUGUUGGUUUCUAGGAUUGACGUAAUGAUUAAUAGGGA